Molecule: non-coding RNA, 278 nt
Organism: Canis lupus familiaris (dog)
Lineage: Eukaryota; Metazoa; Chordata; Mammalia; Carnivora; Canidae
Source: Rfam
GCCCAGCACAGUGGCCUGCACCUGUAGUCCCAGCUACUGGGGAGGCUGAGGCAGAAGGAUAGCUAGAGUUCUGGGCUGCAGGGCCCUAUGUUGACAGGGUGGCCUCACUAAAUUUGGCAUGGAUAUGGUGACCGCCCAGGAGGGGAAGACCACCAGGUUGCCUAAGGAGGGGUGAACCAGCCCAGGUCAAAAUGGAGCAGGUCAAAACCUCCAUGCUGAUCAGGAAUUCAGUCUUAAUAAGAUCAAUAAUGUAUUAUUUGUUUAAUAAUCAGACUUGC